This 73-nucleotide transfer RNA is filed under the name Candidatus Magasanikiibacteriota bacterium. Its description in RNAcentral is "tRNA-Thr". It matches the Rfam family "tRNA". Rfam says of the family: Transfer RNA (tRNA) molecules are approximately 80 nucleotides in length. Their secondary structure includes four short double-helical elements and three loops (D, anti-codon, and T loops). The record is from RNAcentral. Lineage: Bacteria; Candidatus Magasanikiibacteriota.
GCCGUCUUAGCUCAGCUGGUAGAGCAACGGUUUUGUAAACCGUAGGUCCGGGGUUCGAACCCCCGAGACGGCU